AAGAUUGGAGAGAGCUUCUCCUUUUUCAGUGCAAACAGAUAAAGUGAAAAAAUAUAUAAAUAGUUCUAAGUAUAAAGUCUUACAGGACAGUGCAAUGAAAAUCUCUAUGUACAUACACAAGAAUACA
Thalassophryne amazonica is the source of this 127-nucleotide long non-coding RNA. RefSeq lists it as uncharacterized. The transcript is spliced from 3 exons. The record is from RefSeq and is a predicted model, not a curated record. NCBI's taxonomy places the organism in Eukaryota, Metazoa, Chordata, Actinopteri, Batrachoidiformes, Batrachoididae.